CACGUAGGGUGCGAGCGCUGUCCGGAAUUAUUGGGCGUAAAGAGCUCGUAGGCGGUGUGUCGCGUCGGCCGUGAAAACCUGCAGCUUAACUGUGGGCGUGCGGUCGAUACGGGCAUCACUGGAGUUCGGCAGGGGAGACUGGAAUUCCUGGUGUAGCGGUGAAAUGCGCAGAUAUCAGGAGGAACACCGGUGGCGAAGGCGGGUCUCUGGGCCGUUACUGACGCUGAGGAGCGAAAGCGUGGGGAGCGAACAGG
Molecule: ribosomal RNA, 254 nt
Filed under: uncultured bacterium
Lineage: Bacteria
Description: partial 16S ribosomal RNA
Rfam family: Bacterial small subunit ribosomal RNA
Source: RNAcentral